CGAGCACGCGCGUGUGGCAUAUCAAUAAGCGGAGGAAAAGAAACUAACAAGGAUUCCCUUAGUAACGGCGAGUGAAGCGGGAAGAGCUCAAAUUUGAAAUCUUCAAGGUUCUACCUUGACGAAUUGUAGUUUAUAGAAGUGUUUUCUGUUAGUGGAGUGGCAAAAGUUCUUUGGAAUAGGACAUCAUAGAGGGUGAGGAUCCCGUAUUUGGUCAUUCCUUCUAGCUUUGUGAUACACUUUCAACGAGUCGGAUUGUUUGGGAAUGCAGUCCAAAAUGGGUGGUAAAUUUCAUCUAAAGCUAAAUAUUGGCGAGAGACCGAUAGCGAACAAGUACCGUGAGGGAAAGAUGAAAAGAACUUUGAAAAGAGAGUUAAACAGUACGUGAAAUUGUCAAAAGGGAAGCGUUUGACACCAGUGUUGUUUUUCCGAAAAUCAAUUACGAAUGUUUUGUUUUUGAGGAGUUAUGACUUCAUCGGCUUGCUCCUUUCUUUAUGAAACUUUCUUAAUGCACUUUUCGGUUAACAAGUCAACAUCAAUUUCUUUUGUUGUAAAAGGGUAUGAGGAAGGUGGCUUUACUUUCGGAGUAAAGUGUUUAUAGCCUUGUAACUCUGCAAUCGGAGAGAUUGAGGUCUGCAGCGUAGAUCCUUCGGGGUUAGAUACAUUUGUGCUAAGUUAUAGCUUUUCAUAGACAACUUGUUGACUAUGUUUAGUCUUGUAGCUUACUCGCUGACGCUAUUUUACCUACGCUUAGGAUGUUGAACUCUAUCACACACAG
Molecule: ribosomal RNA, 775 nt
Filed under: uncultured Neocallimastigales
Lineage: Eukaryota; Fungi; Neocallimastigomycota; Neocallimastigomycetes; Neocallimastigales
Description: partial large subunit ribosomal RNA
Rfam family: Eukaryotic large subunit ribosomal RNA
Source: RNAcentral